UAACGGCGAGUGAACCGGGAAGAGCUCAAAUUUGAAAUCUGGCGUGCUCAGUGCGUCCGAGUUGUAAUCUAUAGAGUCGUUUUCCGUGCCGGACUGUGUCCAAGUCCCUUGGAACAGGGUAUCAAAGAGGGUGAUAAUCCCGUACUUGACACAAUGACCGGUGCUCUGUGAUACGUCUUCUACGAGUCGAGUUGUUUGGGAAUGCAGCUCAAAAUGGGUGGUGAGUUCCAUCUAAAGCUAAAUAUUGGCGAGAGACCGAUAGCGAACAAGUACCGUGAGGGAAAGAUGAAAAGCACUUUGGAAAGAGAGUUAAACAGUACGUGAAAUUGUUAAAAGGGAAACGAUUGAAGUCAGUCGUGACUGAGAGGCUCAGCCGGUUCUGCCGGUGUAUUCCCCUCAGUCGGGUCAACAUCAGUUUUGUUCGGUGGAUAAGGGCGGUUGGAAGGUGGCACCCUCGGGUGUGUUAUAGCCAACUGUCGCAUACAUCGGAUGAGACUGAGGAAUGCAGCUCGCCUUUAUGGCCGGGGUUCGCCCACGUUCGAGCUUAGGAUGUU
This 554-nucleotide ribosomal RNA is filed under the name Papiliotrema baii. RNAcentral's name for it is "eukaryotic LSU rRNA". It matches the Rfam family "Eukaryotic large subunit ribosomal RNA", at positions 84 to 627 of the family's 3401-position model. The record is from RNAcentral. Lineage: Eukaryota; Fungi; Basidiomycota; Tremellomycetes; Tremellales; Rhynchogastremaceae.